CCUACGGGUGGCAGCAGUGAGGAAUAUUGGUCAAUGGGCGCGAGCCUGAACCAGCCAAGUCGCAUGAGGGAUGAAGGUUCUAUGGAUCGUAAACCUCUUUUAUAAGGGAAUAAAGUGUGGGACGUGUCCUAUUUUGUAUGUACCUUACGAAUAAGGAUCGGCUAACUCCGUGCCAGCAGCCGCGGUAAUACGGAGGAUACGAGAAUUAUCCGGAUUUAUUGGGUUUAAAGGGUGCGUAGGCGGCCUUUUAAGUCAUCGGUGAAGGUCUGUGGCUCAACCAUAGAAUUGCCGUUGAAACUGGGUGGCUUGAGUAUGUUUGAGGCAGGCGGAAUGCGUGGUGUAGCGGUGAAAUGCUUAGAUAUCACGCAGAACCCCGAUUGCGAAGGCAGCCUGCCAAGCCAUGACUGACGCUGAUGCACGAAAGCGUGGGGAUCAAACAGGAUUAGAUACCCCGGUAGUC
Molecule: ribosomal RNA, 460 nt
Filed under: uncultured bacterium
Lineage: Bacteria
Description: partial 16S ribosomal RNA
Rfam family: Bacterial small subunit ribosomal RNA
Source: RNAcentral